RNAcentral lists this unclassified non-coding RNA (317 nucleotides) under uncultured Nectriaceae. RNAcentral's name for it is "sequence contains ITS1". The stretch from base 1 to 105 matches the Rfam family "5.8S ribosomal RNA", at positions 50 to 154 of the family's 154-position model. The record is from RNAcentral. Lineage: Eukaryota; Fungi; Ascomycota; Sordariomycetes; Hypocreales; Nectriaceae.
GAAAUGCGAUACUUGGUGUGAAUUGCAGAAUUCAGUGAAUCAUCGAAUCUUUGAACGCACAUUGCGCCCGCUGGUAUUCCGGCGGGCAUGCCUGUUCGAGCGUCAUUUCAACCCUCAGGCCCCCGGGCCUGGCGUUGGGGAUCGGCAGAAGCCCCCUGUGGGCACACGCCGUCCCUCAAAUACAGUGGCGGUCCCGCCGCAGCUUCCAUUGCGUAGUAGCUAACACCUCGCAACUGGAGAGCGGCGCGGCCAUGCCGUAAAACACCCAACUUCUGAAUGUUGACCUCGAAUCAGGUAGGAAUACCCGCUGAACUUAA